CAAAUUAGAGCUUGGGAGAAAGUAUUUCAUUUACAUUGAAAAGAAAUUAAAAAUUUAAUUAAUUUGA
RNAcentral lists this transfer RNA (67 nucleotides) under Himantopterus dohertyi. Its description in RNAcentral is "transfer RNA-Val (GUN)". The record is from RNAcentral. Lineage: Eukaryota; Metazoa; Arthropoda; Insecta; Lepidoptera; Himantopteridae.